AUUGAACGCUGGCGGCAGGCCUAACACAUGCAAGUCGAGCGAGCGGCGGACGGGUGAGUAAUGUAUGGGGACUGCCCGUUAGAGGGGGAUAACUACUGGAAACGGUAGCUAAUACCGCAUACUAUCGGAUAACCCAUAUGGAGUUAGCUAGUAGGUGAGGUAAUGGCUCACCUAGGCGACGAUCCCUAGCCGGUCUGAGAGGAUGAUCGGCCACACUGGGACUGAGACACGGCCCAGACUCCUACGGAGGCAGCAGUGGGGAAUAUUGCACAAUGGGCGCAAGCCUGAUGCAGCCAUGCCGCGUGUAUGAAGAAGGCCCUAGGGUUGUAAAGUACUGUCAGUAGGGAGGCGUUACCGAAAGAAGAAGCACCGGCUAACUCCGUGCCAGCAGCCGCGGUAAUAC
Molecule: ribosomal RNA, 403 nt
Filed under: uncultured bacterium
Lineage: Bacteria
Description: partial 16S ribosomal RNA
Rfam family: Bacterial small subunit ribosomal RNA
Source: RNAcentral